RNAcentral lists this long non-coding RNA (1171 nucleotides) under Pongo abelii (Sumatran orangutan). RNAcentral's name for it is "lincRNA". The record is from RNAcentral. Lineage: Eukaryota; Metazoa; Chordata; Mammalia; Primates; Hominidae.
GCGGGCUGUUGCUAUGACAGCCCAGGCCGGCGUUGCAGAGGGAUGCUCCGAGGAAGCUCCGGGGGAGAGAGCCGCGUCCACACCUCUUUCCAGACUAUGAUGGGGCCCAGAGACCCCUCCCCUCCGACUGAGCCCCAGAGACCCCCUACUCAGGCCAGAAGGGGAAAGCCGAGCUCCUGCUUGCCCAGGCAUCAGAAUUCCUCAGGGAGGAAAAGUUGCCUAUCUGUUGGGUCAGAUUUCUGAAGACUGAUGAGGCCCAUUUUCUGACAUCCUUCCAGUUGGAUUUCAACUGGGUUCUGCCGAUGGGAUGUAUCCAUGUGAGAUUCUGGAACUAACAUCAGAGAGAGUCCAAGCUUCUAACUUUUAUCAGUGGCAGUGACAACAGUCAAGCAGCAUUGAUGACAAAUGGCAAGAGUUUACAAAGUACCAGUGACGUGCCUGAUAGAAUCUCCCCACAAGAUGGAAGCCAACUCAUCAGAAGCCUGGAAAGCCCGCCCAGCGUGGGACCUCUGUGGGUCCAGGAUCUUGGAAUGGCAUCCCAUGGUUUAAUCUUCCAGAUUCAACCAAAUAAAUUUACCCCACCAUGUCAUGGACCCAAGCUUCCUACCAUGUAUCCUUAGCUUAAAUGCAAGAUAGUGCUAUCUUGUUCAUCUUGAUUGGAGUGAGAAAUGAAUAGGUCCAUGCACAUAUAUUUCUUUUACCACAACAAGAUGAAGAAGAAAUAAAUCCAUAAUAUUGAUACUUUUGUAUAAGUUGUGUUUACAGUUGCAGUAAGAAAUUUUAUAAUCGUUGAUUUGCUUUAUAUAAUUUCUGCUUGCUUUUUAUGAUAUUUAAAACAAAAUCUAAGCAACAAAUUUUAUGUCUGAUUAGAUUUACAGAAGCUGCUUAAGUGCUUAGGGAUAAUUUGUUCAUCAUACUUGUAAGUCUCCCUUGUUAGGUGUUUGAAGUGUUUGAAUUGGCUAAAUUAAAUUUGUAAUUGUAGUUUCAAAUAUCUAAAGGGAUUUUCUUAAUUAAAUGUUUAAAUGAUGUUAAAAGUUCGUGGGAAUUUAAUCUAUCAAAUUUAUGAGUUAAUUGAAUAUGAAUCAAUAAACAAGUAAAUGUGAUCUUGCUUUUAUAUAAAAACUACCAAGUUCAUAAAUAAAAUACAAAGAUCCAUAAGUUGAGAGGAAAA